RNAcentral lists this ribosomal RNA (483 nucleotides) under uncultured bacterium. RNAcentral describes it as "partial 16S ribosomal RNA". It matches the Rfam family "Bacterial small subunit ribosomal RNA", at positions 28 to 507 of the family's 1533-position model. The record is from RNAcentral.
GACGAACGCUGGCGGCGUGCUUAACACAUGCAAGUCGAACGCUGAAGCUCAGCUUUUGUUGGGUGGAUGAGUGGCGAACGGGUGAGUAACACGUGAGUAACCUGCCUCCUUCUUUGGGAUAACGCCCGGAAACGGGUGCUAAUACUGGAUAUUCACUGGUCUUCGCAUGGGGGUUGGUGGAAAGGGUUUUUCUGGUGGGGGAUGGGCUCGCGGCCUAUCAGCUUGUUGGUGGGGUGAUGGCCUACCAAGGCUUUGACGGGUAGCCGGCCCGAGAGGGUGACCGGUCACAUUGGGACUGAGAUACGGCCCAGACUCCUACGGGAGGCAGCAGUGGGGAAUAUUGCACAAUGGGCGCAAGCCUGAUGCAGCGACGCCGCGUGAGGGAUGGAGGCCUUCGGGUUGUGAACCUCUUUCGCUCAUGGUCAAGCCGCAACAAUGGUUGUGGUGAGGGUAGUGGGUAAAGAAGCGCCGGCUAACUACGUG